UGAGGAAUAUUGCACAAUGGGCGCAAGCCUGAUGCAGCGACGCCGCGUGUGGGAUGAAGGGGCUACGCCUCGUAAACCACUGUAGCCCGGGACGAAAAACUCCCUAGAGGCGUUAGACGGUACCGGGAAAGUAAGGGUCGGCUAACUACGUGCCAGCAGCCGCGGUAAUACGUAGGACCCAAGCGUUGUCCGGAUUUACUGGGUGUACAGGGUGCGCAGGCGGAUGGGUAAGUCAUGGGUGAAAGUCUGCAGCUUAACUGUAGAAUUGCCUUUGAUACUGCUCAUGUUGAGUGUGGGAUAGGUUGAUGGAAUUCCAGGUGUAGCAGUGAAAUGCGUAGAUAUCUGGAAGAACACCAGUGGCGAAGGCGGUCAACUGUCCCAUAACUGACGCUCAUGCACGAAAGCGUGGGGAGCAAACA
This 419-nucleotide ribosomal RNA is filed under the name uncultured bacterium. RNAcentral describes it as "bacterial SSU rRNA". It matches the Rfam family "Bacterial small subunit ribosomal RNA", at positions 355 to 774 of the family's 1533-position model. The record is from RNAcentral.